UUGGAAGACAAUCAGCAUGUCCCACUUCGCAAAACUACUAGGCCUACUACUUAUCGCAUCCAACAUGCGCGGUAUGCCGGUGGGCGAAAUUUACAGCUGAUUUUCACGCCACACCUUCAAAAAAACCCGCGCCAUUGCGCGGGUUUUUUU
Molecule: regulatory RNA element, 150 nt
Organism: Lonsdalea quercina
Lineage: Bacteria; Pseudomonadati; Pseudomonadota; Gammaproteobacteria; Enterobacterales; Pectobacteriaceae
Rfam family: Leucine operon leader
About the family: At least 6 amino acid operons are known to be regulated by attenuation. In each a leader sequence of 150-200 bp is found upstream of the first gene in the operon.
Source: Rfam